RNAcentral lists this ribosomal RNA (506 nucleotides) under uncultured bacterium. RNAcentral describes it as "partial 16S ribosomal RNA". It matches the Rfam family "Bacterial small subunit ribosomal RNA", at positions 28 to 523 of the family's 1533-position model. The record is from RNAcentral.
GAUGAACGCUAGCGGCAGGCCUAACACAUGCAAGUCGAGGGGUAACCAGAGUGAUAGCAAUAUUACUUUGGCUAGACCGACGCACGGGUGCGUAACACGUAUGCAACCUACCUUAUACUGGGGAAUAACUUCGAGAAAUCGGCGCUAAUACCCCAUAACACUGCGGAGAGGCAUCUCUUUGCAGUUAAAGCUCCGGCGGUAUAAGAUGGGCAUGCGUCCAAUUAGAUAGUUGGUGAGGUAACGGCUCACCAAGGCUACGAUUGGUAGGGGUUCUGAGAGGAUGAUCCCCCACACUGGUACUGAGACACGGACCAGACUCCUACGGGAGGCAGCAGUGAGGAAUAUUGCGCAAUGGACGAAAGUCUGACGCAGCCAGGCCGCGUGCAGGAUGACGGCCCUAUGGGUUGUAAACUGCUUUUGUACGGGAAUAAACCCUUCUACGUGUAGGAGGCUGAAGGUACCGUAAGAAUAAGCACCGGCUAACUCCGUGCCAGCCGCCGCCGUAA